GCAGAUGGAGGUGAUGUGGUCAUAUCUUCUGGUUCUAGUAAGGACUCCUCCAGCUGUAUAAAUUGAAAUGCAUUCAAUUGCAAUGUGGAACUGUGUGUGUGUGUGUGUGUGUGUGUGUAUGUGUACACUUGAAGAUCUCAAGAGUCAUUGUCUCACAUUACUGUGCUCACUCUGGUCCCCACAAGUUCAGCAACACUUGAAUGUGUGUGUGUGUGUGUGUGUGUGUGUGUGUGUGUGUGUGUGUUUGCUCCCAUGGCAACAUGAGCAGACAUGUACACAGUGAGAGGUCAGGUGGUGAACCAGACACCGCAGAGAGAUGGACAGAUAAAGAAAUGGACAGAGAAAGAGAGACAGAGAGACCCAGACAUGAACCCCAUAGAACACAGCUGGCGAGACCCGAAGACAGCAGUUCACAGAUGCUUUCCAUCCGAAACCUGGAGACUCUGAAGUUUCUCUUUUUGCUGAAGAAGACUCCACGACACACUAAACUGACCUGGUAAACAGCGUCCAUCAGUUUACUCUGGAAAGGAGAAGGAAGAGACACAUCCCACACUCUCAACCUCCUGAGAAAGAAAGAGGGUGAGAGAGAGAGAGAGAGAGAGAGAGAUACAGAAAGACAAACAAUGAGACAGAAAAUUGUGCGACUGGAAGUCCUUGGUUCUGGAUGGAGAGCCAGCAGUAACAGUGUUUCAGCUUCAGGUACAGAGAAUGAACAGAAGAACCUCCUUACACACACGUACAUGUACACACACAUACACACACACACAAAUGAAAAGAAGUAGCAGUGACCAUACAAUGCAUAGGAAGUCCCAAACUUCUGUUUUAGUUUUAGCAUCACUAAAAAGACACUAAUCUGUAGAACUUGUGUCGUUCAAUCCAUUGUCUAUUCUUCUCUUCUGCAUCAUGGACAGACUCCUCCUGUCAUCUUCCCUCAGUUCAACGGGCUAAAAAUAAAAAUAUUUACAGUACAAGGAACAAAUAUGCUGUAAUCAACCAUAAGUUUCAAUUCAGUAAGAGCUCAGCUCUGGGAAAUAUCCGAAACAUAUAAUAUAGAAAUAUAUAUGUGAAAGUAAAUGAACACACUGCAAAAAAAAAACAAAAAAAAAAAACCUACUAUAAAAAGUCACGCUAGGACAGUUAACAGGAGAUUGUUGAGUCUAUUUUGGCACCUGAGUCUAUUUCGAAACCUUGAACUCCAUUUCCCAUGAUUCCUAUCCAGACAAACAAACUACAUCACAUGACCAAUCAGGAGCAGCCUAUCCCCUUUCACAAUCACGACUGUGCCGUUAAAUCACCAGGAUGGUCACUGGUGUCUUGCGAAGUCUUGACGAUGACUUUUACAAACAGCCUUAGCAAGCUAAUUACCUAGCUACUGUUUUGAAAAAAAGCUUAGAUAACUAGCUAGCUAGCAAGUUACAUAUACCAUCAAACGAUCUUAUACAUAGCUAAAUGCAUUCCAACUAAAAAAAAACCCCAAACAAACCUGAUAUUAUUAUGAGAAAAAGCAUCCCAUUAUUAUGACAGAAUGACAAAUUAGUCAAAUGAUUUUGUUAAAUGAUCGAGAACCCUGCUCAUGAGUCAGGCAUGCGUGAUUCCUGACAAAAAUACACUCACGUCAUGUGAAAUUCCCAUCCUUCAUAACAUGUGCGAUUAUAUAAAUCCUGUGAUUUUAAAGAGAAGGAAGGGAGCACUGAUUUGAAAGAGGAAGUCGGGAGUUUUUGUGUCAGUCUGACAUUAAAAGGAGAUUUGACCGCUUGUGUCAGAUCAUGGUCAACGAUGUGCUCCACUAGUGCGGUUAUUAUAUUACAUUAUGCUAACUUUGUAAAAUAUUUACCUCAGCAGACAUUAAGAAAGUCCUAUAGCGUAAUUAUACACUGUCUCACUCUGUCAACCUGUAAAACUAUCGCUAGUUCCGCAAAGCAGGUAGAAAGAUCUGCUUAGACUUUUUCCCAAACAGCCCUAGCAAGCUCAUUACCUAGCUAUUGUUUUGAAAAAAGCUUUGUUAACUAGCUAGCUAGCAAGUCAAACAAUCUUACAGCUAGCUAAAAGCGUAACUUCUGUUCAUCUACGAAUACAAACACGACUAUUAAAACAGGAAGCUUGGUGCUAAUGUUUUGUAGUGGUCACGUUAACAAUAUUGUAUGUUUUGAACAUGCAAUACUCACAAUCUGACGUGAAGCUCUCAGGUUAAAGGUCACGGACUGGGUCACGGCUGGUGAGGAGGGUUUAGAGACGAGACGAACGUGUGUCCGGUCUUCUGUGAUGUUUCCUACAUCAUAAGUGUGUACUGACCGUGCUGUGUGAGGUUAACGGUUCCUGAAAAGCCCUGGAUGGUGUGGCGUGUAGAAAAAGAACGCGUCGUCAAAGCCGAUGGCGAACAGCAAAGCGUUGUAGCGACUCUGUGAUCGCGUCCGUCCCGACCAGGCCGUUGGAGGACCAGGGACGCAGGUCGAAAUACACACAUUUUCUCACAAUAGCAUCCAAACGACUUCGGUCCAGAACAACGCUCUCGGUUCACGUUGUGUUCAAUGUCUGAAAAGCUAAAACACACUCGCUGCGUGAACGAGGAAGACCAGGGACUUCUGUCCAGCUACAGCGGAUGUGUGUCAUGUAGUCGUUACGACACUCCAAGGACUCCAAAACAGGGGAUUCUAAAUAAAACUACCAUUUUAUUUGGACGGUCCAGUGCAGAUAAUAAUCAUCAGUUGGACAUUUUUGAAACUGUAAGCCUUACUUUAAAUAGACCAUUAUACUGUACACUAAAAUCAUACACCGAUUAUUCGAAACUCCUUUUUCUUGUACUAUUAGCACGUGCUUGACACCGCUAAAACAGUGAGUGUUUCUAAAUGGAACUGCGAAGCUUGCCUAGCUACAGUAGCACCUUGAUAAAUGUUCAUGCAUGUUAUUAACAAUGAUACUAUUUUACUGAUAAUGAUACUAACCUACUAUUUACUCAACUAGUGUGAAGUUGAAGUCGUAGCCCGUGACUGUUUGUGUUUCACAUGGCGCGAUUGUGUGAGAUUAAAGCAAUGACCUUAAAUCAGUGGAAUUAAAAUCAGUGUCCUUAUUGAGGGGAUUAAACCAAUCACUUUAAACCAGUGGGAUCCAACCUGGGAUUGCAAUUUGUGAAAUUAAACCAGUGCGAUUAAAUCAUUAACUCUGAGAUUAACAGUGAGAUUAAUCUUUAUACCAGUGA
This is a long non-coding RNA of Ictalurus furcatus (blue catfish), 3196 nucleotides long. RefSeq lists it as uncharacterized. The transcript is spliced from 5 exons. The record is from RefSeq and is a predicted model, not a curated record. NCBI's taxonomy places the organism in Eukaryota, Metazoa, Chordata, Actinopteri, Siluriformes, Ictaluridae.